UAGGGAAUAUUAGUAGUGGGCGAAAGCCUGAACUAGCAACGCCGCGUGUGCGAAGAAGGCCUUCGGGUUGUAAAGCACUUUUUGAGAGGAUGAGGAAGGACGGUACUCUCAGAAUAAGUCUCGGCUAACUACGUGCCAGCAGCCGCGGUAACACGUAGGAGGCGAACGUUAUCCGGAUUUACUGGGCGUAAAGCGCGUGUAGGUGGUUUGGUAAGUAGGGCGUGAAAGCUCCUGGCUCAACUGGGAGAGGCCGUUCUAAACUGCCGAACUAGAGGAUGGUAGAGGGAGGUGGAAUUCCGGGUGUAGCGGUGGAAUGCGCAGAUAUCCGGAGGAACACCAGUGGCGAAAGCGGCCUCCUGGACCAUUCCUGACACUCAGACGCGAAAGCUAGGGUAGCAAA
RNAcentral lists this ribosomal RNA (400 nucleotides) under uncultured bacterium. Its description in RNAcentral is "bacterial SSU rRNA". It matches the Rfam family "Bacterial small subunit ribosomal RNA", at positions 355 to 772 of the family's 1533-position model. The record is from RNAcentral.